RNAcentral lists this small RNA (171 nucleotides) under Chrysemys picta bellii (western painted turtle). RNAcentral's name for it is "TUC338 (ENSCPBG00000002893.1)". The record is from RNAcentral. Lineage: Eukaryota; Metazoa; Chordata; Testudines; Emydidae.
CCUUGCGGAAUGAAGUAUUGCCUUUAUUCAGAGCAGAGGUACCAUAUAGACAGCUGUAGUGCAAGUUUCCGUACAUUACCCCACUAAAGAGCCUGAACCCUGAUCUGGAGAAACCACCUAGAGAAACGAAAAGGUAGCAUGAUCUUCAUGCCCAUUUGGUCUUUGACCUCU